ACACCGGUUUGGUGGGAGGACGUUUGGCUGAAGGAAGGAUUUGCGCAUUACUUCGAGUACAUCGGGGCUGAUUUCCUCUUUCCAAAGUGGAACAUGGAGAAGCAGAGGUUUCUGACUGAUGUUCUUCAUGAGGUGAUGUUACUGGACGGUUUGGCCAGUUCUCAUCCAAUCUCUCAGGAAGUGUUUGAAGCCACAGACAUCGACAGAGUGUUUGACUGGAUUGCGUAUAAGAAGGGAGCCGCGCUGAUCCGUAUGCUGGCUAACGUCAUGGGACAGCCGCUAUUCCAGAGAGG
This is a long non-coding RNA of Sinocyclocheilus rhinocerous, 293 nucleotides long. RefSeq lists it as uncharacterized. The transcript is spliced from 3 exons. The record is from RefSeq and is a predicted model, not a curated record. NCBI's taxonomy places the organism in Eukaryota, Metazoa, Chordata, Actinopteri, Cypriniformes, Cyprinidae.